Copidosoma floridanum is the source of this 516-nucleotide long non-coding RNA. RefSeq lists it as uncharacterized. The record is from RefSeq and is a predicted model, not a curated record. Lineage: Eukaryota; Metazoa; Arthropoda; Insecta; Hymenoptera; Encyrtidae.
CCUAAAGCAUUCAACUUAGUUUAAAUCUGAGAGACGUUUAGGCUUGAAGUUGUUGAAUUUGAUUUCCUGUGAAAUUUUCAGUUACAAAAAUUAAUUCGUACAGUUUACGGUGUCACAGGUAUACAGAUUACAAAUGUUGAAGAUUAUUCUAUUCGUACUUGUAGUUGUGUUGGGUACUACUUUUAUCUCGGGGAAAAGCCCUGAUGAAAAGUGCCAGGCAAAGGAUACUCCUUGUAAUACAAGCCUUGACUGUUGUAAAAAUGGAGGACUGAUUUGUAUUGCUGUUGAUGACCAUGGGGAAUGCAAAGUAUUAUUCAGUCGCUUUAAAGCUGACAGCUUAAGGAAGGGGAUUCUAUAUACAUUUAGAAAAAUAAAAUAGGGGUGACACCAAUUUCAAGUUUCCAAAUAAUGCACGGAUUCAUAAGACUAGUAAUUUUAUGAACGUGUUUGAUUUAUCAAGAAUAAUUUAACAUGCCAAUAUAAGAAAAAAUAAAAUAAAAAAUAUCUCAAUGACUA